Molecule: transfer RNA, 72 nt
Filed under: Stegodyphus mimosarum
Lineage: Eukaryota; Metazoa; Arthropoda; Arachnida; Araneae; Eresidae
Rfam family: tRNA
About the family: Transfer RNA (tRNA) molecules are approximately 80 nucleotides in length.
Source: Rfam by way of RNAcentral
GCCUUCGUGGUGUAAUGGCAGCACUUUCGGCCCGUAUUCGAGAGGUCCGAGGUUGGAGUCCCGGCAAAGGCA